GCCCCUCUCCGAGCCUGAGCCCAGCAGGACCCAGGCCGGCCCGAGAGGAGCAGAGCCGGAGGUUCCCCUUCAGCUCCCACCGGGCCGGUGGGAUGGACAGAGGCGCUGGGAGCGCCCCCGAACGGGUUAACAGACUGCCCUGCUCCUCCCUUCGUCGCCCACCUUCCGCCAGACCACAGAGCUGGCCCCGAGACGGCGGCCGAGGGGGAGGAAGCCCCAGCAGGCGCCGUGCGGGCCAGCAUCUCCUCCAGAUGCUUUCGGCCUGCCCAGGAGAACGUCAUUGCCAGGGGGAGAAGGGGGAGCAGAGGAAGCCCUCAUGGGCAGACGGAGGGCCCGGGGGCUCCCUGCUUCAGCCCGGGCCCAGGAGAGUAUUUCGGGCCGCUGCCGGGGCUGCCCGUCCCCAAGGAGGGCGGCCCAGGCGGCCUGCCCUUCCUCUCCUAGGAGGGUCCCCACCGCCGCACUAAGCCACUGGCUUGUGUCUCUAAGAUACGGGAGGCCAAAUAUUUGGGCUGCCUGGAAAGCCUUAACUCUGAACAAGCGGCCUCCUGCCGGGGGGGGGGGGCCCUCUCGAGCUGCCCUUUGGGCUCCCAGACAAAGCCGGGCCGGGACGGGGCUCUGGGCCUUGGAGGCUCCGAGGAGGACAAGGCAUGUCCUCUGCCCCGUCCCUGAUGGGGGAAGCCAGCCCCCGGGGGACGCGAGCUCACCAGCGGCAGAGAUAGGGCAGCCCGAGCCCUCAGAAGAGCCGCCUUGGCCCCCUUGGGCGCUUCCCCGCCAUCCCUGCUGCUGGAGCCCUCAGAGGAGCCUCCCUGGCCCCCUUGGGUGCUUCUCCACCAGCCCUGGUGCUGGAGCCCUCAGAAGAGCCUCCCCAGCCCCCUUGGGUGCUUCUCCACCAGCCCUGCUGCUGGAGCCCUCAGAAGAGCCUCCCCGGCCCCCUUGGGUGCUUCUCCACCAGCCCUGGUGCUGGAGCCCUCAGAAGAGCCUCCCCAGCCCCCUUGGGUGCUUCUCCACCAGCCCUGCUGCUGGAGCCCUCAGAAGAGCCUCCCCGGCCCCCUUGGGUGCUUCUCCACCAGCCCUGGUGCUGGAGCCCUCAGAAGAG
RNAcentral lists this long non-coding RNA (1096 nucleotides) under Monodelphis domestica (gray short-tailed opossum). Its description in RNAcentral is "lncRNA (ENSMODG00000042878.1)". Lineage: Eukaryota; Metazoa; Chordata; Mammalia; Didelphimorphia; Didelphidae. The record is from RNAcentral.